CCUACGGGAGGCAGCAGUGAGGAAUAUUGGUCAAUGGACGAGAGUCUGAACCAGCCAAGUAGCGUGAAGGAUGACUGCCCUAUGGGUUGUAAACUUCUUUUAUAUGGGAAUAAAAUGUUCCACGUGUGGGAUUUUGUAUGUACCAUAUGAAUAAGGAACGGCUAACUCCGUGCCAGCAGCCGCGGUAAUACGGAGGAUCCGCGCGUUAUCCGGAUUUAUUGGGUUUAAGGGGAGCGUAGGUGGCUUGUUAAGUCAGUUGUGAAAGUUUGCGGCUCAACCGUAAAAUUGCAGUUGAAACUGGCAGUCUUGAGUACAGUAGAGGUUGGCGGAAUUCGUGGUGUAGCGGUGAAAUGCUUAGAUAUCACGAAGAACUCCGAUUGCGAAGGCAGUUCACUGGACUGCAACUGACACUGAGGCUCGAAAGUGUGGGUAUCAAACAGGAUUAGAUACCCCAGUAGUC
Molecule: ribosomal RNA, 460 nt
Filed under: uncultured bacterium
Lineage: Bacteria
Description: partial 16S ribosomal RNA
Rfam family: Bacterial small subunit ribosomal RNA
Source: RNAcentral